AUAAACACCUGGAGGAGAGAUACUGUGACCAAGAAGGUGGCUUCCUCAGGGCAAGGCUCAGCCAUGGUGCUCCAGAUAUGGUGACUCCUGUAGUUUCUCCAACUGUGUAAAAGUCAACUGCAUGAUUUGGGGGACUGCAUUUAUGUUCUCCCUUA
RNAcentral lists this small nuclear RNA (155 nucleotides) under Peromyscus maniculatus bairdii (prairie deer mouse). RNAcentral's name for it is "U1 spliceosomal RNA (ENSPEMG00000003473.2)". It matches the Rfam family "U1 spliceosomal RNA". From Rfam's summary of the family: U1 is a small nuclear RNA (snRNA) component of the spliceosome (involved in pre-mRNA splicing). Its 5' end forms complementary base pairs with the 5' splice junction, thus defining the 5' donor site of an intron. The record is from RNAcentral. Lineage: Eukaryota; Metazoa; Chordata; Mammalia; Rodentia; Cricetidae.